AAAGAAUUAGUUAAAUAUUAACCUUAGUAUGUCAUGCUAAAAUUACCAGUCACAAUCUGGUAUUCUUUA
Molecule: transfer RNA, 69 nt
Filed under: Nemoura nankinensis
Lineage: Eukaryota; Metazoa; Arthropoda; Insecta; Plecoptera; Nemouridae
Description: tRNA-Asp
Source: RNAcentral